UAAGGAAUCUUCCACAAUGGGCGAAAGCCUGAUGGAGCAACGCCGCGUGCAGGAUGAAGGCUCUCGGGUCGUAAACUGCUUUUCUGUGUGACGAUUUUAAGACGGUAGCACAGGAAUAAGCAUCGGCUAACUCCGUGCCAGCAGCCGCGGUAAUACGGAGGAUGCAAGCGUUAUCCGGAUUUACUGGGUUUAAAGGGUGCGUAGGUUGUAGGGUAAGUCUACGAUUAAAGACCAGGGCUUAACCCUGGGAGUGUUGUAGAUACUGCUUUACUAGAGGUCAGACGGGGAAAGCGGAAUUCCCGGUGUAGGGGUAAAAUCCGUUGAUAUCGGGAGGAACACCUGUGGCGAAAGCGGCUUUCUAGACUGAUCCUGACACUGAGGCACGAAAGCCAGGGGAGCGAAGCGG
This 406-nucleotide ribosomal RNA is filed under the name uncultured bacterium. RNAcentral's name for it is "bacterial SSU rRNA". It matches the Rfam family "Bacterial small subunit ribosomal RNA", at positions 355 to 776 of the family's 1533-position model. The record is from RNAcentral.